Molecule: ribosomal RNA, 379 nt
Filed under: uncultured bacterium
Lineage: Bacteria
Description: bacterial SSU rRNA
Rfam family: Bacterial small subunit ribosomal RNA
Source: RNAcentral
UAAGACGAACCGUGCGAACGUUAUUCGGAAUCACUGGGCUUAAAGCGCGCGUAGGCGGCAUUGUAAGUUAGGGGUGAAAUUCCAUCGGCUCAACCGUGGGACUGCCUUUAAUACUGCAAUGCUUGAGGGAGGUAGGGGCAGGUGGAACUUCCGGUGGAGCGGUGAAAUGUGUUGAGAUCGGAAGGAACGCCAGUGGCGAAAGCGACCUGCUGGGUCUCCACUGACGCUGAGGCGCGAAAGCUAGGGUAGCGAACGGGAUUAGAUACCCCGGUAGUCCUAGCCUUAAACGAUGGGUACUGGGUAGAAAGUGCUCCGAUGGCACCUUCUGCCGUAGCGAAAGUGUUAAGUACCCCGCCUGGGGAGUAUGGUCGCAAGGCUG